This 3028-nucleotide long non-coding RNA is filed under the name Mus musculus (house mouse). Its description in RNAcentral is "long non-coding RNA chr5:99276256-99279284". Lineage: Eukaryota; Metazoa; Chordata; Mammalia; Rodentia; Muridae. The record is from RNAcentral.
CCGUUCACAUUUGAAGGUGGGUCAUUCAAACCCUGAGAGGUUAAACAACCUGCCAGAAGUUCCCCGGUUGUUCAGUGUCACUUCGAUGGGAGCGUCAUCUGUUUAGCCCAGAGCUUGUUUGGGCUAAACUUCUGAGCUAAUGCCUGCCCUGUUUUGCCAUUCUAUUCUCCCAGGGUAUCCAGUGCACACAUCUGAAGAUUCCUCUCCUGCCAGCCCUUAGAGUGAAUCUGUGAAUGUGGCUGUUCUGAGAUUACCACCAUAUCAAGCUUGGGCAUCCUUUCUUACACUCAGCUCUGUUUCUAGCUCAUCUUGCCUCUCACAGUGCAACUAAGAGCAAGCUCCGUACGCUGCUUUCACCGUACCUUAAGGAAACCCUCCACGGCCCUGUCUAUCUUCCUGCUGAAGUUGACUAAGGUCAGCCACAGUGGGGAAUGAGAUCUGCUUCUUCCUCCACUCGUGUGCACCUUAGCUUUGCAGCCCCCCUCCCCUGCUGCCUUCUUUGGGUGCUCGGUAGAAUGCCGACUCCAGUUGACCCCUUGAUCACCGAGACGUCCCCACUCAUAGACUGAUGCUCUGUUUAUCAUAAGGGGUCACUAAAUAUUUGCUAAAUGAGUGGAUGAAAUUAUUUCACCAAGGAUACACUGAAAGACUUAAAUCUCCUUCCACAUUUCCUAAAAAUGUUCUUCUUUUUUGUUAAUGAGAAACUUCUGAAUAAGGAUUCUUAUGAUUUGUUAUAUUUUAUGCUUCUUUUUUAACUUAUGUAUUUAUUUGCUAUGUUGAGGGUUGAACCCAUUGCCUCCAGCUUGCUAGGCAAAUCCUCUUCCAUGGAACAACGUCCCCAUGCCCAAAACUUGCUAUGUUUUAAAGUUGCCAUCUGUCAAGUCAGGGUUUUAAAUGUCUAUGAAGCAAUUGCAUUUAACUCUGCUAUUCAAAGAUAAUAACAGAAUUUAUAGAAAUUUAAUUCUUAGUGUUGGGACACCAACUUAACAUAGGGUGGCAAAUGACUCUUUGCUCUGGCCAGUUGAUGCCUAGCUGAGACAAAAGUAUUAAGGUGUCAGAGGCUCCUCCCGCAUGGGACCCAGAGACUGAGGCUCUGCUAUCUGCUGCAAGCUGUAAGACACUACAUGCUUGCAUUCCCUUCCUUUCUAUCAAGGUACUCACCAUACGCCCAACCUGGCCUUCAAGGAUUCAACCCAGUCCUCCCCUCCCAUGCUUUCAUAGGACUCCCUAGGCACAACAUUUUUCUCAUUGGUGAAGCUUCUCAUAACAAUUUAACAUGUUAAGAUAUGAUUUGUCCUAUGCAUGUUUGGUGUACUGGUCUUCACUGGUUUAUGAGAGAAGGGUCCAUCAUCCUUCUCUCUGAGCUCAGUCUGCCUCCUGCUUUGUAGCACUGAAUGCCCACAGAUGCUCACAACGUACUUUCUUGAAUAAAUAAACAGCUCUGUCAAUGCAGGUAGACAUAACAGAUGGCUGGCGUGUUGGCAUGAGGCAUGAGGCUGCCUGGCCCGUUAGCGAAGCGGGCGAGAGGGGCAGUUCGCAUCUGUUGGAGGGCUAGCAGGGGAAGGCCGCAGAUACGGAGGUAGGCAGGGCUGAGGAAGGCUGUAGAUAUGGAGAUAGGUGGGGCUGGAGAUUGGGGUGGUAUGGGUACAUUGCUGGGAUUCAUAGCAACUCUGCCUCUUGUUUCUCAUCCCAGGCAACUAGAGGUGUUUUUUUCCUAUAUCACAGCUCGGUAUUAAGACCAAAGGAGAAAUGAACUUUGAAGUGGUGGCCCCAUUGUUGUAGAUAGCAAUAUUGUUCUACAUAACUUGUUUGUGGUUCGUGUUGCUCACAUGAACAUUCGGACGCACAUCUGCCACGGACCCGUAAUGAGUUAUAAACUGAGAAACCUGAGCGUCAUACCUUUUCCUAUUCCUCAUAUUUCCAAGGCUGGAGUUCUCAGACUAUUGGACACAGCUGGGCAAUCAAGAGGACUUGAAAAAGAACACUAAUCUAUUUGAUAAGAGCUCCACCCCACGGCCUGACCACCUCCCAAGGGCUCUCCGACGGGUGACAUUUCAUCUCAUGGAAGGAACUCGAACUUUCAGUCACUGUGACUCUUCUGGUUGUUGUCCCCUGGUUUGUUAGACUCUUGUCAUCAGCACCGAGCUUACCGGUGUGACUUUACGAAGUGACAUGCCAUGACUAGACAGAAGCUUCCAGUGAGUGCACGGAUUUUUCUUCUAUAAAAAAUGGAAUAUCUCAAACAGCAAGCAGGUCCUCGGUCCUCAGUGGAAACCAUCAGGGCAAGUGUACAAUGACCUAGGUUCUAACUUCCUCAUUUGCACUGGCUUGUCUUAAAGGGAAAAGCCACAUCCCUGGACUCGCUGAGGUGGUCUGUCAGAUGCGAUAACCUGGCUAGGAGCGGGAAACACAAGUUUCAACUGAAAUCUGCUCCAGAUUUUAAUCAUGGUCAUGGGCCCUUUUCUGGGGCUAUUUCACUACAGAUACCUGUUAAAAUUUAUUCCAGUUUAAGGAAGUUUCUGUAUCUAUAGUCAAGGAAAUUCUGGAAUCUUUCUUAUAAGUGAGUAUCAGUAAUGUCACUUGCAGAACAGGGCUGCCAGGAGCCUCAGCUUCUUGCUCAUUGCUGUCUUCACAGGGCUAAGGUUAAUCCUCAGCCGUGGCCAGCCUUCUAGGUAAUGGCGUUUUUAUAGGAUCUUGAAAGAUGACUCUUUAAAAUUAUUUUAUUUCCUCUAACUUAAGGUACAGUGCUCUUGCCCAGAAGGAAACAGUCAUUUCCUAGGAAAAGGGAAACCACACUUCCUGGGGAUGUGACAGCCUCUUUGUCUACCAGCUACUCCUUUGACUGUAAGGGCAGAAAACGAAAAGCAGGUGCCAUCUGAAGGGAAUGAUCCAGGCUAUGGCUCGCAGUAGGCAGAGCUCAGGCUGAGAAGCAAAGCCCAGGCUGGCUUCCAGCCAGGUGACCCUGUCACUCAUUCCUCUAGGUUUGGAUUUCCCCAUAUGUGCCAAUAAAGGAUCUGCAAACCCCUGU